AUACGACCAUCUCAGGUGGAAACGCCGGUUCUCGUAAGAUCAUAGAUGUUAAGCAACGUCAAGCCUGGUCAGUAUCUAUAUGGGUGACCGCUUGGGAACACCAGGUGAUGUAA
Acanthosepion pharaonis is the source of this 113-nucleotide non-coding RNA. The record is from the annotation of a GenBank genome assembly. Lineage: Eukaryota; Metazoa; Mollusca; Cephalopoda; Sepiida; Sepiidae.